GUAGCUCCCACAGAAAUGUUGACAUCUGCCAAGAAUCCGUUCUAAAUCUGCUCUUAAGAGCUGCAAAUGCUCAGGACUGAAGAUCACUUGCUAGAUACAGGCACAGAGAUUUACUCUUCUAGGCAUGGAUGGAGCCAAGAGACUGAAUGAAUCAUCCACCCCUUGGUACACUGUCUUCCAUGUUUUGUC
Long non-coding RNA from Myiozetetes cayanensis, 189 nucleotides. RefSeq lists it as uncharacterized. The record is from RefSeq and is a predicted model, not a curated record. NCBI's taxonomy places the organism in Eukaryota, Metazoa, Chordata, Aves, Passeriformes, Tyrannidae. The transcript has 3 exons.